Long non-coding RNA from Fundulus heteroclitus (mummichog), 565 nucleotides. RefSeq lists it as uncharacterized. The transcript is spliced from 3 exons. Lineage: Eukaryota; Metazoa; Chordata; Actinopteri; Cyprinodontiformes; Fundulidae. The record is from RefSeq and is a predicted model, not a curated record.
CAACGUACGAAGAACGGACCCCUGGAGACAAAGGAGCUACAGAUCUGCAUACCCAGUGAGCUUGAAGCCAAGAAGUUGCCUUUCACUGAACUAUUUAUGGAAUUGGCCAGGUGAUCCUUUUUAGGGUUAAAAGGAUGGCAAGCUUUUCACAACUGGCUGGGCCAGGAGAACCUGAUAUUCCCUCCAUGCUGAUCUAGUAGGGGGCUGAUGGUCUGUAGCAUUUUUCCUUUCCUUCUCAUCAUACCGACACACAAUUCAUGAUUCAUCUCUUCUCCGUUGGACACAAUUUGCGCUUAGGCAUUUUUCACCUCAAAUAACUGGACAAUCAAACUAUGGACUUUUGAAAUGUGUGUCAGUCAGACAUGGUGCUGACUGGUGGGGAAAUGCAGGAGUUUUGUGCACAUUCAUGAAGAUCUACUGCAGUGUUGUAUGUAUUUAUAUUGUUUGGGUCUAUGUAUGUUUUGUGGUGUUUUAUUUUUUUCCCUUGCUUUAAAAAUACAUAUUAAAAGCAGUUAUUCUUUUGUAUUGGUUUUUCAUUAAUCACUGACAACAGCUCCUGCAGACA